GUGUCAGCAGCCGCGGUAAUACGUAGGUGGCGAGCGUUGUCCGGAUUUAUUGGGCGUAAAGCGCCCGCAGGCGGCUUGAUAAGUUUCAGGUGAAAUCUCCUGGCUUAACUGGGAGGGGUCCUGGAAAACUGUCAGGCUUGAGGCAGGGAGAGGGAUGUGGAAUUCCCGGUGUAGUAGUGAAAUGCGUAGAUAUCGGGAGGAACACCAGUGGCGAAGGCGGCAUCCUGGCCCUGUCCUGACGCUCAGGGGCGAAAGCGUGGGGAGCAAACCGGAUUAGAAACCCCUGUAGUCC
This 292-nucleotide ribosomal RNA is filed under the name uncultured bacterium. RNAcentral describes it as "partial 16S ribosomal RNA". It matches the Rfam family "Bacterial small subunit ribosomal RNA", at positions 505 to 796 of the family's 1533-position model. The record is from RNAcentral.